Molecule: long non-coding RNA, 1738 nt
Organism: Macaca fascicularis (crab-eating macaque)
Lineage: Eukaryota; Metazoa; Chordata; Mammalia; Primates; Cercopithecidae
Source: Ensembl
GGUGAUGCCUGUCUCCUGUGGCCACAGGAAUAUUAAAGCAAUAGAGCCUAUUUCUUUUUCUCCUCUCCGCAUCAUUCCUGCAGCCCCAAAUAUUUCACUGCCCAAGAAGACAUGCCCUUCCUUCCGGCCAAAUCGCUGCAUCACGUUGUCCUGGUUCAAUGCAUUCUAACCCAUGGACAGAACAGAAUGUAGAAAACAGCACCAAACAUGCACGACCACACACAGAGCUCUUAUGAGAUACAUUUCCCAUGAAUAUUGCUUAACCUAAUAAUUUUCACUGUUUUAAUACCAUCAAUUUCCCUCCUGAUCAGUGCUACCCAUCAGGAAGUAUCUUCAGGUAAUUAACAUUUUUACAUUUUUAAUUAUGAAAUCUUUCCUGAGCUGGCAGGGUGUCAGAGAUGAGAAGCAUCAAGCAUCAAUGGUGCUGUGAUCUAAAGAUUACUGGAGGCCUGGAAAAUCAAGGAGGGUGUGAAUUCUGCCACCUGCUGUGUCAGUACCCUCGUCUAAAACAGAACUGGACAUUGGCACAAAAUAACGGGGCUCAGUAGAAGCAGCUGUGUUUGGUGGCCAACUUUGCUCUAAAACUUCGAUGCCAAAAGCAGACGUCACUUUCAUCAGAAGACACUGGGAUUCCGUUUUUAAGGAGAGAGAGGGAGCCUGCUCCAGCCAGCCUCCACGCAGGGCUGGGACACAGUGCAGACUCCCUUCUGAUAGCCACUUUGGGUUUCCAUCCUACUCCCCUCUCGCCUUUGUAGUCACACUUUAAAUGCUUUCUUCCCUCAUCUCUACUUUGUCCUUCCCUCACAGCCCUCUUUAUCCCACAGUCCAUUUAAAAAUUCUAUUUAACAACCUGCACAUAUCAAAUCAGAGUUUGGGUUGUUCCCCUAUUCCUAGGCUGCUGUAGAAGAAGUGUGUGCCCAUAGAAAUGCCCCAGAAUGGUAGGAAAUCAGGACUAGAAUGGAAAGAAAAGCAGGAAAGCAAUGUCCACUUACAAUUACUUGGCAGAUUUGCUCGUGUGGUUUGGGGAUAAUGUUCCUUGAUGUGUCUUCAUCUCAAGCCCACCUCAGCUUAGACCAUUCAUAUUUGCUAAGCCCUUUCCUCAGCAUCUUGUGGCUGGGUUGUCACCGUUCUACCAUCAAGGGCAAGCGGGAGGGCGAUGUGUUCUGAGCUCAGAAAGGCUCCAAGGCUUGUCUGAGACCACGUCCCAUGGAGGGGGCCAGGGUUACCACACAGCCUGUCUCUCCUCCAGGAACAGAUCACACACCCCACAUAUGCAGGGAGCCCUUCAUCAACUGUCCCUGCUCCCCAGUCUUAAUCCAUCCUUCCAAUUCCAGCUCCGUCUCUGCCAGAGACACUUCCCUCCCUUCCUUCCCCACCUUUGCUCCCCCUGUUGCGUUGGUCCCUCCAGGAGCAGUGAGGAUGUCCACUCUCUCUGACCCCAACUUCCAGGGCUUAGGGGUCCAAUACAUGUAGCCAUAGCAACCAGUGCCGCAAAAUUCCUGUUUAAGAGAAUGGACAAUGAAAUCAGAAGGACAGGCCUGUUGAAGGGAAAAAAAAAACUUUCUAAAAUCAAGUUCUCAUGAAAUUACAUCUCCCCCCCUUAAUUUCAAAAGUAUUCAGGCCAGGUGCAGUGGCACACCCAUGUAAUCCCAACACUUUGGGAGGCCGAGGCAGGAGGCUCACUUGAGGCCAGGAGUUUGAGGCUGCAGAGUUCUGCCCUGCACUCCAGCCCAGGCAA